This 253-nucleotide ribosomal RNA is filed under the name uncultured bacterium. RNAcentral's name for it is "partial 16S ribosomal RNA". It matches the Rfam family "Bacterial small subunit ribosomal RNA", at positions 524 to 776 of the family's 1533-position model. The record is from RNAcentral.
UACAGAGACUGCAAGCGUUAUUCGGAUUCACUGGGCGUAAAGGGUGCGCAGGCGGUCGGGUGUGUCAGAUGUGAAAUCCCGAGGCUCAACCUCGGAACUGCGUCUGAAACUACUCGACUAGAGUACUGGAGAGGGUAACGGAAUUCCGAGUGUAGAGGUGAAAUUCGUAGAUAUUCGGAAGAACACCAGUGGCGAAGGCGACUUACUGGACACAUAUUGACGCUGAGGCGCGAAAGCGUGGGGAGCAAACAGG